CCACCACCACCACUACCUCCUCUACCUGCUACUGCAAGUCCUACAACAACAGCAUCUACACCAUCAUCUACACCGGGAAAUCAGCAACUUAUCUCACAAGAGCUGCGGCCCAUCUCAUUUGGAAAGACAGCCAGCAGACGCUACAGUACAGUUCAGACGUCAGCUUCCCGCCAAUAAAAGAUUACACCUGUGACGCCCUCUACCUGCAGCCUGUGAGUGUGGUCGCUGGAACAUUUUACCUGAGCGGUACCGUCGAUAUAUCAGAUAAGGACAGCGUCACUUGGCCGAGAAAGAUCGAUUUUGAAAUCAAACUGAGUGGAGCGAGCACCUAUGACGCUGCCUGUCGUGUUGACAUUGGCAAAGAUGGCUGCCCCACCACCAGUGGCGCCAGCUGUACAUGUGACACGUUCCAAAAUGGCGUCUACACAAUCAGGUACCAGGGCGUGGCUCUGUCCAAAUAUUCCUACGCUAGUGCCAGACUGGCGUGGAGCGACAAGUUCUACAACUCUAUCUACAGUCUACCGCAGUCAUUCCCUUACAUCAAAG
Molecule: long non-coding RNA, 546 nt
Organism: Physella acuta
Lineage: Eukaryota; Metazoa; Mollusca; Gastropoda; Physidae
Source: RefSeq, a predicted model, not a curated record